Molecule: long non-coding RNA, 185 nt
Organism: Leopardus geoffroyi (Geoffroy's cat)
Lineage: Eukaryota; Metazoa; Chordata; Mammalia; Carnivora; Felidae
Exons: 2
Source: RefSeq, a predicted model, not a curated record
CUACAGUAAAGACUCUUGCCCACAUUUUCCCUGCCUCCUGACCAACCAUGGUGCUUCCCCAUGUGACCCUGCAUGAUGUGCCAAGCACCCUGUUUCUAGGAAUCUAAAGCCAAUGUAUCAGCACACGACUGAGCACCAAUGUCAUGUACAACACAUGGAAGGAAAUGAGGAUGCUUCAAAGGUAG